RNAcentral lists this ribosomal RNA (497 nucleotides) under uncultured bacterium. RNAcentral's name for it is "partial 16S ribosomal RNA". It matches the Rfam family "Bacterial small subunit ribosomal RNA", at positions 28 to 507 of the family's 1533-position model. The record is from RNAcentral.
GACGAACGCUGGCGGCGUGCCUAAUACAUGCAAGUAGAACGCUGAAGAGAGGAGCUUGCUCUUCUUGGAUGAGUUGCGAACGGGUGAGUAACGCGUAGGUAACCUGCCUUGUAGCGGGGGAUAACUAUUGGAAACGAUAGCUAAUACCGCAUAACAAUGGAUGACACAUGUCAUUUAUUUGAAAGGGGCAAUUGCUCCACUACAAGAUGGACCUGCGUUGUAUUAGCUAGUAGGUGAGGUAAUGGCUCACCUAGGCGACGAUACAUAGCCGACCUGAGAGGGUGAUCGGCCACACUGGGACUGAGACACGGCCCAGACUCCUACGGGAGGCAGCAGUAGGGAAUCUUCGGCAAUGGGGGCAACCCUGGCCGAGCAACGCCGCGUGAGUGAAGAAGGUUGUCGGAUCGUAAAGCUCUGUUGUAAGUCAAGAACGGGUGUGAGAGUGGAAAGUUCACACUGUGACGGUAGCUUACCAGAAAGGGACGGCUAACUACGUG